UUAGUCUGGUUAGCAAUCUAUACAGUGGAACUGCGAAUGGCUCAUUAAAUCAGUUAUCGUUUAUUUGAUAGUACCUUACUACUUGGAUAACCGUGGUAAUUCUAGAGCUAAUACAUGCUAAAAAUCCCGACCCCUGGAAGGGAUGUAUUUAUUAGAUAAAAAACCAAUGCCUUCGGGCUCCUUGGUGAUUCAUGAUAACUUAACGAAUCGCAUGGCCUUGCGCCGGCGAUGGUUCAUUCAAAUUUCUGCCCUAUCAAGUUUCGAUGGUAGGAUAGUGGCCUACCAUGCUUUCAACGGGUAACGGGGAAUUAGGGUUCUAUUCCGGAGAGGGAGCCUGAGAAACGGCUACCACAUCCAAGGAAGGCAGCAGGCGCGCAAAUUACCCAAUCCCGACACGGGGAGGUAGUGACAAUAAAUACUGAUACAGGGCUCUUUGUGGUCUUGUAAUUGGAAUGAGUACGAUCUAAAAACUCUAACGAGGAACAAUUGGAGGGCAAGUCUGGUGCCAGCAGCCGCGGUAAUUCCAGCUCCAAUAGCGUAUAUUAAAGUUGUUGCAGUUAAAAAGCUCGUAGUUGAACCUUGGGCCGGGGUGGUGGGUCCGCCUCACCGCGUGCACUCGCCCGCUCUGGCCUUUCCUUCUGGCAAACCCCAUGCCCUUCACUGGGUGUGGCGGGGAACCAGGACUUUUACUUUGAAAAAAUUAGAGUGUUCAAAGCAGGCAUAUGCUCGAAUACAUUAGCUUGGAAUAAUAGAAUAGGACGUGUGGUUCUAUUUUGUUGGUUUCUAGGAUACCGCAGUG
RNAcentral lists this ribosomal RNA (799 nucleotides) under Cookeina tricholoma. Its description in RNAcentral is "SSU rRNA". It matches the Rfam family "Eukaryotic small subunit ribosomal RNA", at positions 60 to 867 of the family's 1831-position model. Lineage: Eukaryota; Fungi; Ascomycota; Pezizomycetes; Pezizales; Sarcoscyphaceae. The record is from RNAcentral.